Long non-coding RNA from Juglans regia (Persian walnut), 1039 nucleotides. RefSeq lists it as uncharacterized. Lineage: Eukaryota; Viridiplantae; Streptophyta; Magnoliopsida; Fagales; Juglandaceae. The record is from RefSeq and is a predicted model, not a curated record. The transcript has 2 exons.
CAUAAUCACGAAACCCUAUUGAAUUCUAUAUAAGCAUCUUAUCCGCAGCUCAAAGAAAUUAUCUGCACACAAAAAAGAAGCUAAAUGGAAAAGAGUGAGCUAACUGCAGAUCAUCAGGCCAGCAACAUGAGAGGCAACGGCAGCCAAAACUCCGGCCGAGGGAAACCCCACCCGGCCCCUUCUUUUGGCAACCUCCCUCAGAAGCGAGGCACGGUGAAGGCGAAUCUGUUUGGUACUACUGGGGCGUCCAAGCCCAGUACUUCUGCUUCCUCAAGGCCUCAAAAUAUUAAUUAAUGGGACUUUAUUAAUUUCCCAUUUGCUGCUGAUGAUGAUUAAUAUCAUGGAAACCCCGGCCUUGUGUGAUGAAAGAACAGCUUUAGGCCAUUACUCUCUGUCAGAGUCUCUCCGGCCUCCCUCUCCUUUUUUCCCCGUUCUGUCCAGCUUUGAAACUCAGAUCUACCUUCAUCGAUCGGCCCCCCGCCACGGCCAUGUCCGUACGUCCAACCUUCAAACUGCCGUCUCCACGUUUCAUUUUGCCUAGUCAUCGGCCUCAUGAAUAGGUCUUUGUAAAUAUCUCUUUAAUUUGCCAAUGGAUAAUCAGAACCCUAGAUCUGAUGUCCCUGCUGCAGGACAUUCAAGUAGAUAGCUGACCUCAUCUUCAUCAUUAGAAGUUACUGAUCUCGUAUAGUCGCCACACAAGUCAGUACAGAUCAUCUCCGAUCCAAGCUCUCUUCCCGGUGGCCGGCCCCUUUGUUGCAGCUGCACAAGUGCUCCACAAAACAUCAUGAUUUCCUGCAAUCUUUCAUGCUGUGGUCGAUCGGUAACUGUACGUAAGUGAUGAAGAAGCCAUAUUUAGGCGCGCUAGACCUGCAAGCUGUCGACGUUACAGAUCAUGAUCCAUUUUCGGUAGUACGUUUGUAAUUUUCUAUUUUCCGUGCUAUAUUGCGGGGAUUAGUGUUGGAAAAUGGAACCCUAGUAUCCCUCCUGCUGUAUGUAUCUUCAAGUUUUUAUUAAUAAAAAUAGUCUGACAUAUGAUAUA